Molecule: long non-coding RNA, 495 nt
Organism: Oxyura jamaicensis (ruddy duck)
Lineage: Eukaryota; Metazoa; Chordata; Aves; Anseriformes; Anatidae
Exons: 3
Source: RefSeq, a predicted model, not a curated record
AUCAGUGGAGCACAAGCACAACAACCUUCUUAGAACUACCUGGUUGCUGAUGAGUGGAGGCAGCAGUUUCUAGGGGUUGCUGGUGACUGCCUUCUGCAGGCUGGUAUCAGGGGCCUGGUAUUGGGGUGCUGCUUUGAAAGAAGCUUGUCUCUAGAGGUGUGAUCUUGUUCAGAGAAAAGUUCUUCAAGCAGGGGUGACUGACCCUUCACAAAUGCCUGAGAUAUGCAUCUGGUUGUGCGAGGACAUCACACUCAGUUUGGGUCUGGAAUCUCCAAAGUGACGGUGCCCAAUGUAUGCAGGAGCUGAUGAAGCCCAGAUGAGGACAGCGCUGGAUCGGUAGGGAACAGGGAUCAAAGCCUUUGUACUUGUUGCCAAAUCAAUGUGCUUGAUUUUUACUUGUUAAUUUAUCCGCUACAAAAUGUUGUGGGCUUCUUUUAAUAUUAGCAUUUUUCAUCCUACAUAGUAGUCAAGUGCAACUAAAUACUGUAUUAUCGA